This 236-nucleotide non-coding RNA is filed under the name Candidatus Sulfopaludibacter sp. SbA3. Lineage: Bacteria; Pseudomonadati; Acidobacteriota; Terriglobia; Bryobacterales; Solibacteraceae. The record is from RNAcentral.
AGAGUCAGGCAGGAAAGGAGUAGCGAACCAUCCUGACCCCGAGGCAUGUGAGGGCAGCCGUAAGGCUGCACUUGAAGCGUUGGGAAGGGGCACAUGGAGGCUGGGUAUCCCUGAAGUAGAUGAGCUCCGAAAUAGCCAAGACCAGAGACGCCGACGGUGUCGGGCGAACCGGAAGGCAAUACUGCGGCGCGCGGGAGAUCGCGAGUGCGUCACAGGCUCUGCGGAGUCGUAGACCC